AAUAAGCAAAAAAGCAAGCCUGGAGACUAAAAUCAGCUCUCUGUUUCUUAGUCUCUCCAUUCCCAGAUAAAUGCAAAAGAAUCAAAGGCUGUAGGCUUCACACUUUCCCUGACUGUUGACCCAUUUUAAACUGUGCUUCAAAUGGAAGUUUGAUUUAUAACCCAUACGGAAGGCAAUAAACCCAUCCGUGAGGAGUGAUAACCCCUGGAGAAGGCGGAGUGGUGAACAGAGUGGGACAAGAAACCAGGCCUUCUGGCCUUUGGUUCAGGAAGAGAUUCAGACAUGCUUAUUAUAAGCGUGAAAAUAGUCCAAUAAUUUCAACUGCUGAAGUUAGGCUUUGCUAACUACUUGGAUUAGGCUGUCUCAGUGAGCGGGCAUCUGUAACAAGAGGAUAACACCUCGGCCUCACAUACGCCCAAGUCUGAUUUCCUAAAGUAUGCUCUAUUCCUUGGAUUUAUUGCUGGUGUUUGGUUUGGUUUGGUUUGGUUUGUUGGUGUUUGUUGUUUUUUUUUUCCUUGUUAUACAGCAACUGUAAAAAUACAGCGCUAUGAACAGGUGAAAAUCUAAUCUUGACUCACUCGUAUGUUUAAACAGUUCUUUCCUGAAAUCUUAUCAAGAAAAUGCUGCCCACUUUGUUAAUAAAAGCAUACACCCAGGGUAAGUAAGGAGUGCCAAGGAAAAGCUGGCCAUGAGCUCCCAGCCUCUCCCCACACCUUGUUUCACAGUGGAGCUGAGCUUUCCUGAGGGUGUUCUGUCUCCAGGACAUUUACCCCCAAGCCAACGUGCCCCAUUUGUCCAGCUUUUUGUGUGUGCUCAGGAAGCAAAGUGCGUUUGCUUGAUUUGGAAUUGUUAGCUUCUUUACUCCUUUUUAAUGAUUUUAUUUGAAUAACAGAUAAAAGUUCAUUAAUCAAGGGUUGGAACUUGGAAGAACCUCCCGUAAAAUGAAAAACUCUAGACUGCAUUGCGAGUUAAAAAGGUCAUCAAAGUCUCCUGUGUAAUUAUGCAAGACCAACAGUAAUGCCUCUGGGCUGGCUCCCAGUUGCUCCAUUACAGCCUCUCUCUUUGCUCUCCUGCCAUGCUGUGACGGGCUUGACAUUCAUCAGCCAAACCUUGCAGCUGAAGAUGAAAUCCCGAAGUGUUGGCAUUUAAAUGGUUUGAAGCCCACGUAUCUUGUCUCUGAAGCACCCUUGCAUUCCUUAGCUGUGCAAACAUGGAAAAAUGCCACAGGAAGAAGCUCAAUAGUGCUGUGUUUAAAAGCCUUCGCGGCAUGACUCAUUUGGAAAGGUUUCCUUAUAAGAAGAGUUUGGAACAGUUAAAAGGAAAAUCCUUCCCUCUGCACCCCUUGUCGGACAUAGCUAGGAAGAGUAAAGUAUAUUUAUAAGGCUCAGGACAAUUAGGGCCUUGGCUGGUGCAGUUUUGUGGUUUUAAAAGUCAUGCAUUCAAAAAUUUGUGAAGGUUUCCAAGAUCAGAUAUUUUUUGUACAGCCGUAUCAUCAUAUGACUGCAGACAGCUACAGACACGACCUAUUUAUGCCCCAUUAAGGUUUCUGCAAAGGGCUCGGCCAGGACACCGCGUGCUUUCACGGUUAAUGCAGUAAACCUCUGGGCCGCUUAUUUGGGAUGACUUCAGCUUGAAUCUGCCAAACCAAAGAUGCAAAUUCAUACAUCAUGCAUCCAAAACUAUCCCCAAACUGGCAGAGACCGAGAUCAAAACCCAGGAAAUACUUGUUAAGAGCCAGUCUUCUCUGCUAGCAGGUAAACAAGCUUUUUUUUUUUUUUUCCUCUGAUCUCUCAGCUCGCAGACAUCAGCUCAGAGGCCUGUCUGCUGCUGUUAUCCGGUGCCAUAGGAUUCUGCCCCACAGAUGCUGUUUGGCAGCAAAAGCAGCUGCACUCUAGCUGGAAAGGGUAUGCACGCUCAUGUGUUUUCAUUUACGUUGAUUUAUCUGUCUUGCAAGUGCCCCCUGCAUCUCUCAGUUCUUCCACAGCAAUUAGCAUUUACAGUCACUUGAAAUACAGCUGGUUACAGAAAUAACAACCAGGAGCAAAGAGUCUGUGUGAUUCCUACGGCCUUCGGGUAAACUCCCUGCUGCCAGCAGCACACCCGGUGCCCACCAUUUGGUGAGCAUUUGGAGGGAGCAACGGAGGGGGUGCUGUGCUGUGUGCGGGCAGUUAGUGAGCCUGCAGAGCGCCCCGCUGCCUGCCUCCUUGCUUCCACGCCGAGUGUGGAUGAGCUCAAGUCUUUCCACUGGCAGCUGCGAUAGCUCAGCCUGCAAAGCCUGGAGAUACGCUUAGAUCUACACACCUGCCGCAGUCUGGACUCGCAUCCCCUGAAACCACACAUCUCUGUCCUAGCCGCCAGAACACCCCCGUGCUGCACACCCCCCUGCGAGGAACGCUUCAGCCGAAAGGACAGCAGGACUGGAGGGGCACCCAUUCUCCUGGCAUAAGGACUUCUGCAGCCCUCCGCUAGCUCACCGCAGUACCAGCAAGUGUUGUGCCUCGUCUGAGGGGCAGUUUGCUGGCAGAAGGAGCAGACUUGUUGGCAGUGGCACCCUUGUCAAAGACCCUGUCCCCUUGGCACCAAGUUUGGAUCUACUGCACCAGCUCUGGCUCCUGCUGAGCGGCCUUGGGGGCUGUUCCAGCAGUGGGAUGAAGUAGCCCAGGACCACCACAAACCUCGUGCCUUCCACUACAGUCGGCCGGUACAUUUCUCCAGCAUAAACAUGCACCGGUUUAGGGGUAUAUGCAUUUAAGAUAUUCCCCCUGAACACUUAAUUGAUGGAUUUGUCUUCCUGAGGGAGGAUAAGGAGAGAACCAUGACAGAUUUUAAUCACUGCUAAAAGCACUACUGAGCGGCACACUCAUACUGGAGCUGGGUGUCUUAUGAGAGCCACGAGAGAAUAAAAAUUAUGGACCUGUUUUCACUGGCA
Cygnus olor (mute swan) is the source of this 2929-nucleotide long non-coding RNA. RefSeq lists it as uncharacterized. The record is from RefSeq and is a predicted model, not a curated record. The transcript has 2 exons. NCBI's taxonomy places the organism in Eukaryota, Metazoa, Chordata, Aves, Anseriformes, Anatidae.